GCCGAACUUCUCGCCUAACAUCUAUUUAAUAAAUAGUUAAAUACUUUCUCCCCUAUAUUAAAACAUUUUAUCAACUAAGUAAAGGUGAUAGAAAAAUUUCUUUGAGCAAUAAAAACAGUACCGUAAGGGAACGAUGAAAUAAAACUGAAAUAACUCUUAAGCACAAAAAAGUAGAGUUUUACCCUCGUACCUUUUGCAUCAUGGUUUAACUAGUCCUGUUAGGCAAAAAGACUUUCAGUCUAACUUCCCGAACCUAGACGAGCUACUCUAAGACAGCUUUGUGAGCCAACCCGUCUCUGUCGCAAAAGAGUGGGAAGAUCUUAUAGUAGAGGUGACAUACCAACCGAGCCUAGUGAUAGCUGGUUGCUUUAGAAAAGGAUUUUAGUCCAACUUAAAGUCAUACUUAUUUUUAAAAAUUAGACUUUAAAGCAAUUCAAAUAAGGUUCAGCCUAUUUGAAAAAGGAUACAACCUCAACCACUGGGUUAAUCACACAGUUAAAAGACAAAGUAGACUUAAAAGCAGCCAUCUUAAAUAAAAGCGUCAUAGCUUACUCCUAUAUCUGCAUAAUUACAAAAAUUCUUCUUAACCCUUCACUACUAAAAAGCAACUCUAUACCUCUAUAGAAAAUUUUAUGUUAAAACUAGUAACAAGAAGCAGCCCUUCUCUUAAAUGCACCUGUAUAUCAACAACAACCCCAUUGAUAAUUAACACCUUUAAAACUAAAAUAGAAACCUCCUCAAGAAAACUCUAUUAUAACUAGCGUUAACCUAACACAAGAGCAUUAAAAGAAAGAUUUAAAGAUAAAGAAGGAAUUCGGCAAACAUUAGCCUCGCCUGUUUACCAAAAACAUCGCCUCCUGAUUAACUAUAGGAGGUCAAGCCUGCCCAGUGACAUUGUUCAACGGCCGCGGUAUCCUAACCGUGCGAAGGUAGCGUAAUCACUUGUUCUUUAAAUGAGGACUAGUAUGAACGGCUUCACGAAAGCUAUACUGUCUCCUUUAUCCAAUCAGUUAAACUAAUCUCCCCGUGAAGAAGCGGGGAUACUUCUAUAAGACGAGAAGACCCUAUGGAGCUUUAAACUCUUUAGACAUUUGAACUACACAUAAAACUUUCAGAAAAAUUUAUUAAACCAAUCAUUUUGUCCUAGGUUUUAGGUUGGGGUGACCACGGAGAAAAAAUCAACCUCCACGUAGAAAGAAACUACCUUCUAAGCAAUAAGCCACACCUUUAUGCAUCAACAUAUUGACCUAAAUUGACCCAAUUAUUUGAUCAACGAACCAAGUUACCCUAGGGAUAACAGCGCAAUCCGCUUUAAGAGCUCUUAUCGACAAGCGGGCUUACGACCUCGAUGUUGGAUCAGGAUAUCCUAGUGGUGCAGCAGCUACUAACGGUUCGUUUGUUCAACGAUUAAAAUCCUACGUGAUCUGAGUUCAGACCGGAGUAAUCCAGGUCAGUUUCUAUCUAUAAAGCGUUUUUUCUAGUACGAAAGGACCAAAAAAACAUGGCCAAUGCCCUAAAAUGUAAGCCAUCCUUCCCAAACUUAUGCCUAAAACUCAAUAAUCAAGGACCUCUUACAAGCUCUAAGACCAAGACUAAACCAU
RNAcentral lists this ribosomal RNA (1601 nucleotides) under Allobates aff. magnussoni AR-2020. RNAcentral describes it as "16S ribosomal RNA". It matches the Rfam family "Bacterial large subunit ribosomal RNA". Lineage: Eukaryota; Metazoa; Chordata; Amphibia; Anura; Aromobatidae. The record is from RNAcentral.